Molecule: ribosomal RNA, 196 nt
Filed under: uncultured bacterium
Lineage: Bacteria
Description: partial 16S ribosomal RNA
Rfam family: Bacterial small subunit ribosomal RNA
Source: RNAcentral
UCCUACGGGAGGCAGCAGUGGGGAAUUUUGCGCAAUGGGGGAAACCCUGACGCAGCAACGCCGCGUGGGUGAUGAAGGCCUUCGGGUCGUAAAGCUCUGUCUGGAGGGAAGAAAUGAUUGGGAGCUAAUACCUCUUGAUCUUGACGGUACCUCUGAAGGAAGCACCGGCUAACUCCGUGCCAGCAGCCGCGGUAAU